GAUGAACGCUGACAGGAUGCUUAACACAUGCAAGUCUACUUGAAUUUGGGUUUUUAACUUAGGUUUGGGUGGCGGACGGGUGAGUAACGCGUAAAGAACUUGCCUCACAGCUAGGGACAACAUUUAGAAAUGAAUGCUAAUACCUAAUAUUAUGAUAAUAGGGCAUCCUAUAAUUAUGAAAGCUAUAUGCGCUGUGAGAGAGCUUUGCGUCCUAUUAGCUAGUUGGUAAGGUAAAGGCUUACCAAGGCGAUGAUAGGUAGCCGGCCUGAGAGGGUGGACGGCCACAAGGGGACUGAGAUACGGCCCUUACUCCUACGGGAGGCAGCAGUGGGGAAUAUUGGACAAUGGAGGAAACUCUGAUCCAGCAAUUCUGUGUGUGUGAAGAAGGUCUUCGGAUUGUAAAAACACUUUUAGUUGGGAAGAAACAAAUGACGGUACCAA
This 441-nucleotide ribosomal RNA is filed under the name Fusobacteria bacterium oral taxon 220. RNAcentral describes it as "bacterial SSU rRNA". It matches the Rfam family "Bacterial small subunit ribosomal RNA", at positions 28 to 481 of the family's 1533-position model. The record is from RNAcentral. Lineage: Bacteria; Fusobacteriati; Fusobacteriota.